UACGUAGGGUGCGAGCGUUAUCCGGAAUUAUUGGGCGUAAAGGGCUCGUAGGCGGUCUGUCGCGUCGAAAGUGAAAACCCAGGGCUUAACCCUGGGCCUGCUUCCGAUACGGGCAGACUAGAGGUAUGCAGGGGAGAACGGAAUUCCUGGUGUAGCGGUGAAAUGCGCAGAUAUCAGGAGGAACACCGGUGGCGAAGGCGGUUCUCUGGGCAUUACCUGACGCUGAGGAGCGAAAGUGUGGGGAGCGAACAGG
RNAcentral lists this ribosomal RNA (253 nucleotides) under uncultured bacterium. RNAcentral's name for it is "partial 16S ribosomal RNA". It matches the Rfam family "Bacterial small subunit ribosomal RNA", at positions 524 to 776 of the family's 1533-position model. The record is from RNAcentral.